AUCGGUUUGGAACACAGACCUUAUCAAAGCAGUUUUAGUAAAGCAGUCCUCAGUGCAAGCGAUAUCACAAGAUACCCUUAUUCAUGAGUCUCCUCCUAAAAGCCUGGUAAGUUACCUUCUGAAAGACAGGCCAUCUUCGCCACUUUGUGGCUCAUAAAUUAAGGAAUUAUCGAUGUCUAAUAAAAUGACUGGUUUAGUAAAAUGGUUUGACGCUGGUAAAGGUUUCGGUUUUAUCUCUCCUCAGGAUGGCAGCAAAGAUGUAUUCGUACAUUUCUCUGCAAUUCAGAGCAACGAUUAUAAAACUCUGGACGAAGGUCAGCAGGUCGAAUUCACUAUUGAAAACGGCGCUAAAGGUCCUUCAGCGGCAAACGUUGUCCCUAUGUAAGCCUUAAUUAUCAAUAGUGCAUUAUCAAUGCGUGAUGG
Non-coding RNA from Triticum urartu, 423 nucleotides. NCBI's taxonomy places the organism in Eukaryota, Viridiplantae, Streptophyta, Magnoliopsida, Poales, Poaceae. The record is from Rfam.